GGAUGAGUUGUGGUUAGGGGUGAAAUGCCAAUCGAAUUCGGAGCUAGCUGGUUCUCCCCGAAAUGCGUUUUGGCGCAGCGGUAAAUGUUAUAAUUUAGGGGUAAAGCACUGUUACGUAUGCGGGCUGGUAAUUCGGUACCAAAUCGUUGCAAACUAAGAAUACUAAAUGGAUAAUUUACCAGUGAGACUGUGGGGGAUAAGCUUCAUUGUCAAGAGGGAAACAGCCCAGAGCACCAGUUAAGGCCCCAAAAUAAUUACUAAGUGGCAAAGGAGGUGGGAGUGCAGAAACAAUCAGGAGGUUUGCUUAGAAGCAGCAAUCCUUUAAAGAGUGCGUAAUAGCUCACUGAUCGAGUAAACCUGCGCCGAAAAUGUACGGGACUAAGUAAUUUGCCGAAACUGUGCGAUAUAUUGAAUAUAUCGGUAGGGGAGCGUUCUGUUGUAGGUUGAAGUAUUAGCGGAAGCGGAUAUGGACGAAGCAGAAGUGAGAAUGUCGGCUUGAGUAACGAAAAUAUAGGUGAGAAUCCUAUACCCCGAAAACCCAAGGUUUCCUCCGGAAGGCUCGUCCGCGGAGGGUAAGUCAGGACCUAAGGCGAGGCUGAAAAGCGUAGUCGAUGGAUAACGGGUUAAUAUUCCCGUACCAUUAUUUGUUGAUAUCGAGGGACGGAGAAGGCUAAGCUAGCCGGAUAUUGGUUUACCGGUUUAAGCGUUCGAGAUGUUGAGGAACGGAGAAAACGUUCUGAGUUGAGGCGUGAAUACGAGAUGCUACGGCGUCGAAGUAGUGUAUGUCAGACUUCCAAGAAAAGCUCGCAAUGUCGUAGAUAAAUAAUGCCUGUACCAUAACCGACACAGGUGGGUAGGUAGAGUAUACUAAGGGGCGCGAGAUAACUCUCUCUAAGGAACUCGGCAAAAUAACUCCGUAACUUCGGGAGAAGGAGUGCCUUAUUUAAUAAGGUUGCAAUAACAAGAUCCAAGCAACUGUUUACCAAAAACACAGGUCUCCGCUAAGUCGUAAGACGAUGUAUGGGGGCUGACGCCUGCCCAGUGCCAGAAGGU
Molecule: ribosomal RNA, 1053 nt
Filed under: Ochromonas sp. CCMP1393
Lineage: Eukaryota; Chrysophyceae; Chromulinales; Chromulinaceae
Description: partial Bacterial large subunit ribosomal RNA
Rfam family: Bacterial large subunit ribosomal RNA
Source: RNAcentral